This 414-nucleotide ribosomal RNA is filed under the name uncultured bacterium. Its description in RNAcentral is "partial 16S ribosomal RNA". It matches the Rfam family "Bacterial small subunit ribosomal RNA", at positions 360 to 774 of the family's 1533-position model. The record is from RNAcentral.
AAUAUUGCGCAAUGGACGAAAGUCUGACGCAGCGACGCCGCGUGUGGGAUGAAGCCUUUCGGGGUGUAAACCACUGUUGCCCGGGACGAAACUCCUUUUUCGAGAGGAUUGACGGUACCGGGUGAGGAAGCACCGGCUAACUCUGUGCCAGCAGCCGCGGUAAUACAGAGGGUGCGAGCGUUGUCCGGAAUCACUGGGCGUAAAGGGCGCGUAGGUGGCUUGGUAAGCGUGUGGUGAAAGUCCGGGGCUCAACCCCGGAUCUGCCGUGCGAACUGCUGAGCUGGAGCACUGUAGAGGCAGGUGGAAUUUCGGAUGUAGCGGUGGAAUGCGUAGAUAUCCGAAAGAGCACCAGUGGCGAAGGCGGCCUGCUGGGCAGUUGCUGACACUGAGGCGCGACAGCGUGGGGAGCAAACA